UCUACCAAGAUGGAGAUGGCCUGAACCCUGCCAGCCCUUCUCUCUGUUCAAGCCACUUCGGAAAUCUGACCUUGAAGCAUCCAGCGCAUCCUUGUUGCCACAUUGCAGGAGCCAUCCUCUCACCCAGAGGAGGAUGAGAGGUAAUAUUGCAAAUGGGAAGAGUUGCCAGUAUGAAGAAGACCACCCCUUCCUGGGAGCUACCUUUUCUAUGGGUUUGCCAAGCACAGUCUGCCGGUUCACCAAUAGGCCACGGGCUUUAAGAUUCUGCAAACAUUCAUAUAGGCAACAGUUCAAAGCUGCCAAUUUGAAGACAAGACUUUGCUCAGUAGCAGAAGUAAUGAAG
This 343-nucleotide long non-coding RNA is filed under the name Falco tinnunculus (common kestrel). RNAcentral describes it as "lncRNA (ENSFTIG00000006110.1)". Lineage: Eukaryota; Metazoa; Chordata; Aves; Falconiformes; Falconidae. The record is from RNAcentral.